RNAcentral lists this transfer RNA (74 nucleotides) under Cordylochernes scorpioides. RNAcentral's name for it is "tRNA-Thr". Lineage: Eukaryota; Metazoa; Arthropoda; Arachnida; Pseudoscorpiones; Chernetidae. The record is from RNAcentral.
UGUCCAGGGAUGGGAAUCGAACCCACAGUGUUCCGCUUACCGGGCAGAUGCCAUGUCCACUAAAUCUCCAGGGU